RNAcentral lists this unclassified non-coding RNA (375 nucleotides) under uncultured Actinomycetes bacterium. RNAcentral describes it as "uncultured actinobacterium contains 16S-23S intergenic spacer region". The record is from RNAcentral. Lineage: Bacteria; Bacillati; Actinomycetota; Actinomycetes.
UCCGAGUUGACCCCGGCAGUCUUCGAUGAGUCCCCGGCCGAACCGCUGGCAACAUCGAACAAGGGUUGCGCUCGUUGCGGGACUUAACCCAACAUCUCACGACACGAGCUGACGACAGCCAUGCACCACCUGUGAACGCCCCCGAAGGACACCAUAUCUCUAUGGUUUUAGCGCACAUGUCAAACCCAGGUAAGGUUCUUCGCGUUGCAUCGAAUUAAUCCGCAUGCUCCGCCGCUUGUGCGGGCCCCCGUCAAUUCCUUUGAGGUUUAGCCUUGCGGCCGUACUCCCCAGGCGGAACACUUAAUGCGUUAGCUACGGCACAGCCGGGGUCGAUUCCUUUUACAGCAAAUACGCACCGUUUACGGCUAGGACUAC